RNAcentral lists this ribosomal RNA (252 nucleotides) under uncultured bacterium. RNAcentral describes it as "partial 16S ribosomal RNA". It matches the Rfam family "Bacterial small subunit ribosomal RNA", at positions 524 to 776 of the family's 1533-position model. The record is from RNAcentral.
UACGUAGGUGGCGAGCGUUGUCCGGAAUUACUGGGUGUAAAGGGAGUGUAGGCGGGGCUUCAAGUCCGUUGUGAAACCGAUCGGCUCAACUGAUCGUUGCGGCGGAAACUGGAGCUCUUGAGUGAGGUAGAGGCAGGCGGUAUUCCCAGUGUAGCGGUGAAAUGCGUAGAUAUUGGGAGGAACACCAGUGGCGAAGGCGGCCUGCUGGGCCUUAACUGACGCUGAGGCUCGAAAGUGUGGGGAGCAAACAGG